Molecule: ribosomal RNA, 635 nt
Filed under: uncultured archaeon
Lineage: Archaea
Description: bacterial SSU rRNA
Rfam family: Archaeal small subunit ribosomal RNA
Source: RNAcentral
UGCCCUUAGGUGGGGCAUAAACCCGGGAAACUGGGGCUAAUUCCCCAUAGAUACAGAAGGCUGGAAUGCCUCUGUAUUCAAAGCUCCGGCGCCUAAGGAUGAGUCUGCGACCUAUCAGGUAGUAGUCAGGGUCACGACCUGACUAGCCAACGACGGGUACGGGGUGUGAGAGCACUUGCCCGGAGAUGGUUUCUGAGACACGAAACCAGGCCCUACGGGGCGCAGCAGGCGCGAAAACUUCGCAAUGCGGGAAACCGUGACGAGGGAACUCCAAGUGUCUAUGCAAUGCAUAGACUGUUUUUCAGCCUAAAUAGCUGUUAGAGUAAGGGGUGGGUAAGACCGGUGCCAGCCGCCGCGGUAACACCGGCACCCCGAGUGGUAGCCACUAUUAUUGGGCCUAAAGCGUUCGUAGCCGGUUUAGUAAAUUCUUGGGUAAAUCGUACAGCUUAACUGUGCGGAUUCCGGGGACACUACUAGACUUGAGACCGGGAGAGAUUAGAGGUACUUGCAGGGGAGCGGUGAAAUGUUGUAAUCCUGCAGGGACCACCAGUGGCGAAGGCGUCUAAUCAUAACGGCUCUGACGGUGAGGAACGAAACCCUGGGGCGCAAACGGGAUUAGAUACCCCGGUAGUCCA